Molecule: ribosomal RNA, 301 nt
Filed under: uncultured bacterium
Lineage: Bacteria
Description: partial 16S ribosomal RNA
Rfam family: Bacterial small subunit ribosomal RNA
Source: RNAcentral
CAGUCGCCGCGGUAAUACAGAGGGUGCAAGCGUUAAUCGGAAUUACUGGGCGUAAAGCGCGCGUAGGUGGUUUGUUAAGUUGGAUGUGAAAUCCCCGGGCUCAACCUGGGAACUGCAUCCAAAACUGGCAAGCUAGAGUAUGGUAGAGGGUGGUGGAAUUUCCUGUGUAGCGGUGAAAUGCGUAGAUAUAGGAAGGAACACCAGUGGCGAAGGCGACCACCUGGACUGAUACUGACACUGAGGUGCGAAAGCGUGGGGAGCAAACAGGAUUAGAUACCCCAGUAGUCCCUGUCUCUUAUAA